GGCGAACCGAGCGAACGUUGUUCGGAAUCACUGGGCUUAAAGGGUGCGUAGGCGGGCUGCCAAGUUUGAGGUGAAAUCCUCCGGCUCAACCGGGGAAGUGCCUUGAAUACUGGCGGUCUGGAGGGAGGUAGGGGCGUGCGGAACUAACGGUGGAGCGGUGAAAUGCGUUGAUAUCGUUAGGAACUCCGGUGGCGAAGGCGGCACGCUAGACCUCUUCUGACGCUGAGGCACGAAAGCCAGGGGAGCGAACGGG
Molecule: ribosomal RNA, 253 nt
Filed under: uncultured bacterium
Lineage: Bacteria
Description: partial 16S ribosomal RNA
Rfam family: Bacterial small subunit ribosomal RNA
Source: RNAcentral